This 273-nucleotide long non-coding RNA is filed under the name Phaseolus vulgaris (common bean). RNAcentral describes it as "long non-coding RNA (PVUL_LNC003953)". Lineage: Eukaryota; Viridiplantae; Streptophyta; Magnoliopsida; Fabales; Fabaceae. The record is from RNAcentral.
UUGAUACCACUCUGAUGGGAAAUUCAACACAAUAAAACUCAAUUCAACCAGAGUUAAUAAGAAGCGGAUAAUAAUUUCCCCAACUCGCAAGAAUCUGUGAGGAGCAAUAACAAAUAAUCGCAGCAACAAAAAUACACUUAAGGAAGAUACAUGAAUUUUAACGUGGAAAACCUUCUCAAUGUGAGAAGUAAAAAUCACGGGCACAAGUCAGUCAAUCAAACUCCACUAUGAUCAAAUUAGGUUACACAGAGAGUCUCAAAUUACAGCACAACU